RNAcentral lists this ribosomal RNA (440 nucleotides) under uncultured bacterium. Its description in RNAcentral is "partial 16S ribosomal RNA". It matches the Rfam family "Bacterial small subunit ribosomal RNA", at positions 338 to 795 of the family's 1533-position model. The record is from RNAcentral.
CCUACGGGUGGCAGCAGUGGGGAAUAUUGCACAAUGGGGGAAACCCUGAUGCAGCGACGCCGCGUGAAUGAAGACUUCCUUCGUUAUGUCAAACUCUCUCAGCAUGGGAGAAAAUGACGGUACCUAAGUAAUAAGCCCCGUCUAACUACGUGCCAGCAGCCGCGGUAAUACGUAGGGAGCUAGCGUUAUCCGGAUUUACUGGGUGUAAAGGGAGCGUAUACGGCAGUGCAAGUCUGGAGUGAAAGUCGGGGGCUCAACCCCCGGACUGCUCUGGAAACUGUACGGCUGGAGUGCAGGAGAGGUAAGUGGAAUUCCUAGUGUAGCGGUGAAAUGCGUAGAUAUUAGGAGGAACACCAGUGGCGAAGGCGGCUUACUGGACUGUAACUGACGUUGAGGCUCGAAAGUGUGGGGAGCAAACAGGAUUAGAUACCCGUGUAGUC